RNAcentral lists this ribosomal RNA (256 nucleotides) under uncultured bacterium. RNAcentral's name for it is "partial 16S ribosomal RNA". It matches the Rfam family "Bacterial small subunit ribosomal RNA", at positions 524 to 777 of the family's 1533-position model. The record is from RNAcentral.
UACGAAGGGUGCAAACGUUGCUCGGAAUUAUUGGGCGUAAAGCGCACGUAGGCGGCUUAGCAAGUCGGAAGUGAAAGCCCUCGGCUCAACCAAGGAAGUGCUUUCGAAACUGCUGAGCUUGAGUACUUAAGAGGAUCGCGGAAUUCCCGGUGUAGAGGUGAAAUUCGUAGAUAUCAAGAGGAACACCAGUGGCGAAGGCGAGUCCCUGGACGGUACCUGACACUGAGGCACGAAAAGCUAGGGGGAGCAAACAGGG